AGGAUAGGUGGGAGGCUUUGAAGUGUGGACGCCAGUCUGCAUGGAGCCAUCCUUGAAAUACCACCCUUUAAUGGCUGGUGUUCUAACGUGGGCCCGUUAUCCGGGUUGCGGACAGUGUCUGGUGGGUAGUUUGACUGGGGCGGUCUCCUCCUAAAGAGUAACGGAGGAGCACGAAGGUCAGCUAAUCCUGGUCGGACAUCAGGAGGUUAGUGCAAUGGCAUAAGCUGGCUUGACUGCGAGCGUGACGGCGCGAGCAGGUGCGAAAG
Molecule: ribosomal RNA, 266 nt
Filed under: Staphylococcus aureus
Lineage: Bacteria; Bacillati; Bacillota; Bacilli; Caryophanales; Staphylococcaceae
Description: partial 23S ribosomal RNA
Rfam family: Bacterial large subunit ribosomal RNA
Source: RNAcentral